This is an RNA transcript of Arachis ipaensis, 2331 nucleotides long. It is a transcript of the gene named Pyridoxal phosphate (PLP)-dependent transferases superfamily protein, with no coding region annotated. The record is from RefSeq and is a predicted model, not a curated record. NCBI's taxonomy places the organism in Eukaryota, Viridiplantae, Streptophyta, Magnoliopsida, Fabales, Fabaceae.
AAGUCCAAAAAAAAAAAAAUUACAGGUGUUUCAUCGGAUACGGUCAUACGGAUUACAGAAUAACGACAAACACUAGGCUGAUAACUUCCCAUCUCAGUUCUCGCCACUAUUUUAUUUUUCCAGCUCUUGCUUUUGGACACUCACUUUUUUACUCAAAAAGCCCUAGCUUUAAAAAUAUCACCGAUGAUCACACUUUCCAAUAACCCUACCCUAAACCCAGUACCAAUGCCUCAGGACGACGAUGAAGACCCUCGAAACGGCGCCGUAGAGGCAAACGACCACGCCCACCAAAGCCCCUUAAAGAAGCCCAGACUGACCCGACCCAUUUCUGAACCCGACAUUCUGCAAGAGUUCUCCCACCACCAACAGGGCUUUGCCAGAAUUAACAACGGCAGCUUUGGGAGCUGCCCGCGGUCAGUUCUCUCUGCCCAGAACACGUGGCAUCUCCGAUUCCUGCAGCAACCCGAUGAAUUUUUCUUCAACUCGCUCCGAAAGGGGAUCCUCGAGUCACGCGCCGCCGUGAAGGCUUUAAUCAACGCCGACGACGUCGAUGACGUGUCACUCGUCGACAAUGCUACAACCGCCGCCGCUAUCGUCCUCCAGCAGGUCGGCCGCCAGUUCGCUGACGGAAGCUUCCGCAAGAACGACGCCGUCAUCAUGUUCCACUGCGCGUUCCCGGCGGUGAAGAAAUCCAUCGGCGCAUACAUCGGCCCCGCUGGUGGCUCCGUCGUGGAGGUUCGGCUUCCCUUUCCAGUUCGCAGCGAUGAGGAGAUUAUUGCGGAGUUCAAGAAGGGGCUUGAGCGAGGUAAGAUUAAUGGCGGAAGGGUUAGGUUUGCGAUGAUUGAUCACAUAACUUCGAUGCCUUCGGUUGUUCUUCCCGUUCGAGAAUUGAUUAGGGUUUGCAGGGAGGAAGGUGUGGACCAGGUCUUCGUGGAUGGCGCCCACUCCAUAGGGAGCGUGCCUGUCGACGUGAAGGAAAUUGAUGCUGAUUUCUACGUGAGCAAUUUGUAUAAAUGGUUCUUUGCACCGCCUGCUGUGGCUUUCUUGCACUGCAAGAAUUCGAAAGGUUUGGUGGAUUUGCACCACCCAGUCGUGUCUCAAGAGUAUGGGAAAGGGUUGGCGUUAGAGAGCUCCUGGGUUGGGAACAGAGACUAUACUCCCCAGCUCGUGGUGCCGUCGAUUUUGGAGUUUGUGAACCGGUUCGAAGGUGGUAUUAAGGGGAUCAUGAAGAGGAACCAUGAUGGGGUUGUGAAGAUGGGGACUAUGCUGGCUGAAUCAUGGGGAACAAUGCUGGGGUCGCCGCCAGAGAUGUGCGCAAGCAUGAUAAUGGUUGGAUUGCCGUCUAGGCUAUGUGUGACGAGUGAUGAUGAUGCCAUGAGUUUAAGGACGCACCUGAGGGUGUAUCACAGGAUUGAGGUUCCUACAUAUUACCAGGCUUUGAGGAAUGAAGAUAGGGAUCCCAAGGACAAGGACGGGUUUAUAACUGGUUAUGUUAGGAUAUCUCGUCAAAUUUAUAACACAGAUGAGGAUUAUCAUAGGCUUAAGAAUGCAAUUAAUCAGAUUUUGGAGGAUGGGAAAAUUUGCAGCAUGCUUCCUGUUGAGUGAUCCAAAAAGAGCGAAUAGUAACUGGCCAUAGGGUUUGUAAGGUGACGCCCUCCAGCUACAUAUUUGAACACAACGGUACUGACUUCCAUUCUCGACAGUCUUUGGUAGUUGAUGGCAUCGUCGUCUCAAUGGAAAGAAGGGUUGCUGUGCAUGAAGAUAUCCCUGCGGGCUUGCGUCUCGCCGACAAAGCAGAAUUGUACGACGGAGCAGACCAUGGAGUUGGAUCAGUCGAGGGUGAAGGCUUGUAGGGAUGGAGUCAGACGAGUAUGAGUUACACGAAGAUGAAACAGAACACGACUAUCUUGGAGAGACCGAUGGCGACAAUGGAGAUGGGGUUGAAUUGGAAGACAAUUUGGACGGUAUCGGAGGAAUGUAUGACAAUUUUGCGGAUGAUGACUUACACGCUGAUAAUUCUGGCGAAUUGCUAGGUUCAAUUGAUUUUGUGAACCUGAGUAGGGUGGAAGUCGCUUUAAUUUCGCAGAUGUUAACAUUGCAUUUGACUUCUACCAGGCAUAUGCAAAGCACCAUGGUUUUAGCAGGAGACAUUACAGGAGCAAAAAAUGUAGCGAAGUAAGGAUAAUAUAGGAAUUUGUGUGCCACCGAGAAGAAUUCAGAUUGCUGAAAUUCUACUCAAUUCCUAACCGGCAAAAGAGGCCAAGGGCCGAGACACGGUGUGGAUGCCAUGCAAGGAUGCAUGUUCGCAUGGACGAUGAAUCAGGAUGUUGG